UUACAUGGUUGUGUUAAUUUCAGGUAUACAGCAAAGUGAUUCCGUUAAUUAUGUCUAGUCCUUUUCAGAUUCUUUUCCAUAAUAGGUUGUUUCAAGAUACUGACUAUAGUUCCCUGUGCUCUACAGUAGCACUGUUGUUUCUCUACUUUAUAUAGAGUACACGCGCAUUGUGUCCUUGGCUAGCCCUCUCCUUUUCCCUUGACAGCAAUCCAAGUUUGCUUGGUCUUGAGGCAGUUUGGAGAGCUCGAUAGCCAGACCCCAAGUCCUUGGGGCACUGUCUUGGUUUUAGGGCUUGGUCAGUUCUAGAAUUACGAUGUUAGCUGGGAGACCAUAUUCUCCCUCCACAGCCUGCCCCCCACUCUCUCCGAACCUUCCUUGCUCCUGGAACAGAGCUCUGAACACUGCUUGUUGCCCAUACUUCUCCCUGGCACCAGCUUUAUCUGUCUCUCCCCUUUCAGCUCCACUGCUGCCCUCUGACCCCCACCCCACCGAAUUUCCGAGGGAUGUCUGCACCUGACCUUCCCCCCUGCCUGCUACCCUGUCUUUCUCUCCUAAUUACCAUUCUGUUUACACAGACUUCUCACUUUGGUUCUUUUUUUUUAAUUUUUAGUGGUUUCUGUUUCAAUCCAUCACCUUUACCAUUUUUCUCUCUGCUCUUCAUUAUUUAUUUCUGCGAAUGGGAUUACCUGUUUUGCUCCUUAUAACUUUUGGCUUUAUUCUUCCCCGUGAGAAGCUUUCUUGGGUUGUCUUUCCAGGUGACCCAGCCCCACCUGGAAAAUGAACAAAAAUUCCUUUCCCAGGAUCACUGUUGUUGUUGGGCUGGUAAUCUCCUCCUGACCUGAUGGGACUUUGUGUAACCCCCAUGCCCUCUCCUCGAGAGAUCACUUCCCAUACCCACCUUGCUGGAGUCCAUGGGCCUGGGAAGUCCAUAGGGGUAGCAAUUAUUGUUCCUGUUAUGAAAUUAAGAAAACAAGACUUAGCAGGGAGGAAAUUGAGGCCCAAGAAGAGGAACUAACUCUCCAAGUUCGUGUGGCUAGUAACGGAAGACCUGAGAGGAGAAAGGACACCAAGGAAUUCCCAGUUCAUUGCCGGCCCAGGGCUCCACCUGGAUGUGAUGAGUGGACAGGCAGCUCAUGCAAGGGAUGUCAGCCACAAGGGCUCUGGGAACAAGAUUCAGCAGCGUCUUUCCUUGUACACCAGAUGUAAGGCAUGCAGUCCCAACGGUUUUCUGGUUUGGAUGUGCCUUUGGUCCAACUUCUGUGUUCUGUCUGGAUGAGAAGUUCAGCGAGGAGGCGGAACUCAAUCAUUCCACUCAAUUUAAACCUGGUGCUGUCUGCACAGGUGGGAUCAGUAAUGGAGCUCCUGGUUUUCAGCUGGGUUCAUGGCUUCUCAGAAAAAGACAUUUCCUAAGUUUUCUUGGAGUAAGUGUGGCCAUUUGACUAUGUUGUGGACAAUGAGAUGUCAGUGGAAAAAUCAUGGGAUGCUUUCUGGAAGACUCCUUUAAAAGCGAGGAGGCAGAGGGCUUCCCUGGUGGCACGGUGUUUAGGAAUCCGCCUGCCA
This is a long non-coding RNA of Globicephala melas (long-finned pilot whale), 1560 nucleotides long. RefSeq lists it as uncharacterized. Lineage: Eukaryota; Metazoa; Chordata; Mammalia; Artiodactyla; Delphinidae. The record is from RefSeq and is a predicted model, not a curated record.